GUUGAACGCUGGCGGAAUGCUUUACACAUGCAAGUCGAACGGUAGAGGGGGCAACCCCCUUGAGAGUGGCGAACGGGUGAGUAAUAUAUCGGAACGUGCCCAGUCGUGGGGAUAACGUAGCGAAAGUUACGCUAAUACCGCAUACGAGCUAAGGAUGAAAGCGGGGGGAUCGCAAGACCUCGCGCGAUUGGAGCGGCCGAUAUCAGAUUAGGUAGUUGGUGAGGUAAAGGCUCACCAAGCCAACGAUCUGUAGCUGGUCUGAGAGGACGACCAGCCACACUGGAACUGAGACACGGUCCAGACUCCUACGGGAGGCAGCAGUGGGGAAUUUUGGACAAUGGACGCAAGUCUGAUCCAGCCAUUCCGCGUGCAGGAUGAAGGCCCUCGGGUUGUAAACUGCUUUUGUACGGAACGAAAAGGUUUGUCUUAAUACGAUGAGCUCAUGACGGUACCGUAAGAAUAAGCAACCGGCUAACUACGUGCCAGCAGCCGCGGUAA
RNAcentral lists this ribosomal RNA (498 nucleotides) under uncultured bacterium. Its description in RNAcentral is "bacterial SSU rRNA". It matches the Rfam family "Bacterial small subunit ribosomal RNA", at positions 28 to 523 of the family's 1533-position model. The record is from RNAcentral.